Molecule: long non-coding RNA, 2045 nt
Filed under: Sus scrofa (pig)
Lineage: Eukaryota; Metazoa; Chordata; Mammalia; Artiodactyla; Suidae
Description: lncRNA (ENSSSCG00070002032.1)
Source: RNAcentral
CAGGAUCCUCUGGGGCCCCAUCCCCACCCACAGGCCCAACUCAAAGCUGGGGAGUCACGGGGGCCUCAGUCCAGCGAGUGCACCACUGGCCCCAGGCUUGUCCCUCGAGCUCUCAGCUGACCUAACUCCUGCUCCAGUCCCAGCGCAGCUUGUGUCCUAGGGUGGGGGAGGGAUCGGGCAGAGAUGUGGGGGGACCCCAGGGCUCCAUGGGCCCUGAGGGGGGGUCAUGGGGGUCAUGGGGAAGGAGAUGUUGGGACCAGCCACCUCACCUCCCAUCCUGACCCCCAGGAGGCUCCCAGGAUCAGCCCUUCCCCCCCACGGACUCAGGCCCCCGCAGGGGUAAGUGCGGGUCUGUGGAGAGGGGUCCGUGGGGGGCAGGGUGGGGCUGUGCCCCCAAGUCAGGCACCUCUGGACACUCAGACUUGGAUGCCCCCACCCCCCGAGGGCCUCUGCCUGUCCACAUGUCAAAGGAGAGAGUCCAGGCCCAGAGCUCGGGGGUCCUUCCAGGUCUGAUUCUGCCGGGACCCACGGGAACAGGAGGCCCCCGGGAGGGACUGGAUGGGGGACUGGAUGGGGCCUGUCCCCUCUUGGCCUGAUGGUGACACUGUGGGUGGGAGGGGGCGGGGGCAGGACAGGGGUCCAGGGGUCCAGGCGCUUCCCCUUCAGCCUGGGGAGCUCAGCUCCCGGAGGAAGUGUGAGGGCUGGGCUCAGACUCCUGGCUGCAGUCCCCGCUCCCGCUGUCAGACCAGCCAGGGGCCUCCCUCCUCAGAGUCUCGGGUCCAAGGCUGGUGGGCUCCCUGGUCCCCUGCCCCGGGAUCACAGGACUGCCAUCAGGCCUCCCAUGGUACCUGAGCCUUCUGAUCGGGGUCUCGGUGGCCUUCGUCCUGCUGCUGCUCCUCCUCCUCUUCCUCCUCUCCGACAUCGACACCGACACCGGGGUCAGGACAGAUGCAGGAAGUCAGGUGAGCAGGGAACAGGGGAAACCCAGGCCCCCAGAGGCGCUGGGUUGAGGGCACCAGCCAACGAGAACCAAAGAGGUGGGUGAGGUCAGCUUAGAAGGAGAUGGUCCAGAGUCUCAGGUCUGAAAAUCUGGAACGAAGACUCUUAACGUCAGGUCACAGGCAGACAUGCAGGGGGUUUCUCGGGUCUCAUGUCCUGAAACACUGACACCCACGUGCGGGAAGGAGUCAGGGUUUCCUUCUUGCCCUGGAGCCCCGUGGAGCAGGGGGCAUAACAGGCCCAGGCUGAGGUGUGCCCGCUGACCCCGCCCAGGGCAACGCUGACCUCCAACUUCCUGCAGGGGCUGCAGACCCAGAGCCCGAGGACAGAGGCCUGCAGAACAGGUGACUCCUGCCCCAAAGACCCCAGGCUCCCAGCUGCCCGCAGCCCCGUCCGCCCCUAACACCCCCAUCUCCUCCCAGCUCCAGCCCAGCCGCCGACGCCCAGGACCAGAACCUCUGUGAGCAGAAGAGGAGGGCGGCCCUGGGGGUGGGCAUGGAGAGCUCUGCAGCAGGGGGGGAUCCCUGGGGUGGGGGACGAGCACUGAUGCAGCACCCAUCCCCUGCCUUCUGGGUGCAGGGGGUCCAGCCCUGAGAAAUCUCAGGGAGUCCUGCCCAGCAAGGCCCCCUUCCCCCCGGUUCUGCCCCAGCAGAUGCUGCCCUGAAGGACACACAGUCUGAGGAGGGGACGGAGCUGGACCAUCUGGUGAGACCCCUGCUCCUGGCCAGGCCACCAAAGACCUUCUUGUGGCCCAACUUCACCCAGGGUAGCCGUCUCAGUGCCCACACCCCAGCCCCACCAGCACCCACACUGGCCUCUCCUCUGGGCCCCUGGGUCAUCCCCCUGUGGCUCCCCCUUCUGUCCACUUGUGGCCCCACCUUCAGGGUCCCCUCUCCUGACUCCUCCUCCUCUGUCUGACCCUCUGGUGCUGGAUGCAGCCCCGCGGCUCAGGAGGAUGCGUGGAUAAGGGAAUGGCCCGCAAGUGCCCAGGCUCCCGACCUUCCUGCUCCCAACAGACGGGCCCAGGGGAGCACCUCGCCCGGCAC